Rhineura floridana is the source of this 1973-nucleotide long non-coding RNA. RefSeq lists it as uncharacterized. The record is from RefSeq and is a predicted model, not a curated record. The transcript has 3 exons. Lineage: Eukaryota; Metazoa; Chordata; Lepidosauria; Squamata; Rhineuridae.
AGCUCUUCACCGCUGCCACCCCCGCUUGCCUGGCCGGCCAGCUGGCCGCCAUCUGAUUUGCAAUCAGGGUUUCACGGAGAGGAGAGCCACAACCGGAGAGGAGAGCCACAACCGUGUGACCAUCUCUGCACCCACUAUUUUUAAAAAGCAGGGCAUGGAAAGCAGGUGACUUGAGAAUGCUCUUGUACAAUUUAAGCCUUGCAAAAGCAGCCUGACCCAGAAAGCACACCGGACACAUGGCCUCAAAUGCCCUUUGAGGCGGGCCAAGCUCUCCCUUGGCUCAGCUUCCAUCUUUGCAAGAAAGAAAACAAAAUAGGCAGACAUAAAACUAAGAAGCAGAAUGCAGCAAAAUUCCAACUAAAAUGUCAUCUACAAAUGAAAGCAGCAGUAUCAGAGCUGGGCUCAGAGGCAAACAGACUACCUCUUGGAAGCUCUUCCAGAAGAGGCGCAGUAUGGGCCACCAAUCAAAAUUCUGGCAGCCAAACUCUGUCCUGGCAGAAUUCAUACCUGACUACGACUUCUAGGCUUCCACCUCACCUUUGGCUUCACCUUCGGCCCCCGUCUUGGGCAGGGACAGUCACCAGGAAGAGGUGCUAAGCAUUAUGAACACAGGAAGCUGCCUUAUCCCGAGUCAGACCAUUGCUCCAUCUAGCUCAGUAUCACCUACACUAACCGGCAGCAGCACUUCAGGGUUUCCCAGUCCUAACCUGGAGACACCAGGGAUUGAACCUGGGACAAAGCAAAUACGCUAACCACUGAGAGACGGCCCUUCCCUUUCAGGGAGAAGAUCGCCUGAAGACACUGCACAACUGUAUUUCCCUAGAUAUGAGAUGAAAAAUUGACAACUUUGACAUUUUGAGUUUUCACUAACCCCUUUUAGGGGAGAAAACAUUAAAUCACACGUGCCAGUCUGGACACUUGCAGGCAUGUACAUACAUACCCCAAAGGCGGAAAGACAUUCUGAACUUAACGCAGAUGUGUUUUACUUGGAUUUCAAGAGGAAGAUUUCUACCAGAGAAUAUAACAUGUGAAAGUUUUCAUUGAAAAUAUCCCCCCCCCAAAUUCACAUCUACUCUACUAAACCCGAAUAACUGAAAUGAAUAAAGUUAAAAUGGGGUACACACAAAAAUAAGGGGGGGAAACCAUUCCUUUAAAAGUGAAAAUAAUUUAAUGAUUUUUCUCCCUUGAGCCAUGGAAGGAAUUUUAAAAUGAUUUCAGAGUCUCAACAUUAUUUCCAUAUAAUGUAUUAGAAGCCAGUAUUUUACAAAUGCAAUAAUCAUCACCACAACAACUAAAGAUUUCUCUGAAAAACUUGCUAACCCUUUGCAUCAUACAAGGGAGGAACCCUCCACCCACAAAGAAAACAAAUGAUUUAUUUUAUUUGACUGAAAUGUGCAGUUACUCCAAACUUGUAGAUUCCAAUUAAAGCAAACUAUGAUUGCAUCCCUUGCUUAAAACUUAGCCCUGACAGUAAACUGCUGAAGUUAGUCCUGGCUAUGGCUGCAGUCCUAUACACACUUACCAGGGAGUAAGCCCCACUGAACUCAAUGGGACUUUUCUGAGUAGAUGUGGACAGGAUUGUGCUGUACAUCUCAAUGGGACAAUCCAACUAUAUUUACCUGGAUUGGGGCCGUCAGUGUUACGGGUGGUAUUUAACCAAGUCCUACACAGAGGAGACCCAUUGAAAGUAAUAAACUUAAGUUGUCAUGUCCAUUAACUUCAAUGAGUCUACUCUGAAUAAGACUAGCAUUGUCUACCACUUUAUGUAGUUACAUGCCUAUUAAAAAAAACUUUAAAGGCUUUAUUGCCAAUGCAGUAUAUUAAAGAGCAUAUUGGACUAGGAUCCAGAGUAUUCAGCAUUCAAAUCCACUCUUGGAUAUAAAGCUUAUUGGGUGAUGUUCAACCAAUCCCUAUCUUUCAGCUUAACCUAUCUUACAGGGUGCUUGAGAGAAUAAAAUGAGCAGGGCGUCUGU